GAUGAACGCUGGCGGCGUGCCUAACACAUGCAAGUCGAGCGGAAAGACGGGGAGCUUGCUCCUUUACCGUUAGCGGCGGGCGGGUGAGUAACACGUGGAUCACAUACUUCUAUGUCUGGGAUAACUACGGGAGAACGGAGAUAAUACCGGAUAAUAUAUUGAACCGCAGGGUUCAAUGGAUCUAGACGGCUUUGGUGUCACUAUUAGCUGGUUCCGGGUCGGAUUAGCUAGUUGGUAAGGUAAAGGCCUACCAAGGCUACGAUGCGUAGCUGAGCUGAGAGGAUGAUCAGCCACACUGGAACUGAGACACGGUCCAGACUCCUACGGGAGGCAGCAGUAGGGAAUAUUGGGCAAUGGGCGAAAGCCUGACGCAGCAAUGCCGCGUGGGUGAUGAAGGUCUUCGGAUCGUAAAGCUCUGUUAUUGGGGAAGAACAGAAGUAGAUUAAUCCAUGGACGUCUUGACGGUACCUAAUCAAAAAGCCCCGGCUAACUACGUG
RNAcentral lists this ribosomal RNA (497 nucleotides) under uncultured bacterium. RNAcentral describes it as "partial 16S ribosomal RNA". It matches the Rfam family "Bacterial small subunit ribosomal RNA", at positions 28 to 507 of the family's 1533-position model. The record is from RNAcentral.